GUGCUCGCUUCAGCAGCGCAUAUCCUAAAAUUUGGAACGAUACAGAGAAGAUUAGCAUGGUCCCCGGGUAACAACGGUCCCUGGGUAACACGCAAAUUCGUGAAGCAUUCCAUACUUUU
Molecule: small nuclear RNA, 119 nt
Organism: Macaca fascicularis (crab-eating macaque)
Lineage: Eukaryota; Metazoa; Chordata; Mammalia; Primates; Cercopithecidae
Source: Ensembl